Molecule: ribosomal RNA, 253 nt
Filed under: uncultured bacterium
Lineage: Bacteria
Description: partial 16S ribosomal RNA
Rfam family: Bacterial small subunit ribosomal RNA
Source: RNAcentral
UACGAAGGGGGCUAGCGUUGCUCGGAAUCACUGGGCGUAAAGCGCACGUAGGCGGACUCUUAAGUCAGGGGUGAAAUCCUGGAGCUCAACUCCAGAACUGCCUUUGAUACUGGGAGUCUUGAGUCCGGAAGAGGUAAGUGGAACUGCGAGUGUAGAGGUGAAAUUCGUAGAUAUUCGCAAGAACACCAGUGGCGAAGGCGGCUUACUGGUCCGGAACUGACGCUGAGGUGCGAAAGCGUGGGGAGCAAACAGG